This 208-nucleotide ribosomal RNA is filed under the name uncultured bacterium. RNAcentral's name for it is "partial 16S ribosomal RNA". It matches the Rfam family "Bacterial small subunit ribosomal RNA", at positions 524 to 729 of the family's 1533-position model. The record is from RNAcentral.
UACGUAGGGCGCAAGCGUUGUCCGGAAUUAUUGGGCGUAAAGAGCUCGUAGGCGGUUUGUCGCGUCUGCUGUGAAAACCCGGAGCUCAACUCCGGGCCUGCAGUCGAUACGGGCAGACUGGAGUUCGGCAGGGGAGACUGGGAAUUCCUGGUGUAGCGGUGAAAUGCGCAGAGUAUCAGGAGGAACACCGGUGGCGAAGGCGGGGAUC